UACGUAGGGCGCAAGCGUUAUCCGGAAUUAUUGGGCGUAAAGAGCUCGUAGGCGGUUUGUCGCGUCUGCCGUGAAAGUCCGGGGCUCAACUCCGGAUCUGCGGUGGGUACGGGCAGACUAGAGUGAUGUAGGGGAGACUGGAAUUCCCAGUGUAGCGGUGAAAUGCGCAGAUAUUGGGAAGAACACCAGUGGCGAAGGCGGUUCUCUGGGCCUGUGCUGACGCUGAGGAGCGAAAGCGUGGGGAGCGAACAGG
RNAcentral lists this ribosomal RNA (253 nucleotides) under uncultured bacterium. RNAcentral's name for it is "partial 16S ribosomal RNA". It matches the Rfam family "Bacterial small subunit ribosomal RNA", at positions 524 to 776 of the family's 1533-position model. The record is from RNAcentral.